This 99-nucleotide ribosomal RNA is filed under the name Calicophoron microbothrioides. Its description in RNAcentral is "partial 5.8S rRNA". It matches the Rfam family "5.8S ribosomal RNA", at positions 58 to 154 of the family's 154-position model. From Rfam's summary of the family: 5.8S ribosomal RNA (5.8S rRNA) is a component of the large subunit of the eukaryotic ribosome. It is transcribed by RNA polymerase I as part of the 45S precursor that also contains 18S and 28S rRNA. Functionally, it is thought that 5.8S rRNA may be involved in ribosome translocation. RNAcentral also lists the same sequence under 1 other name. The record is from RNAcentral. Lineage: Eukaryota; Metazoa; Platyhelminthes; Trematoda; Plagiorchiida; Paramphistomidae.
UGAAUUAAUGUGAACUGCAUACUGCUUUGAACAUCGACAUCUUGAACGCACAUUGCGGCCACGGGUUUUCCUGUGGCCACGCCUGUCCGAGGGUCGGCU